Molecule: long non-coding RNA, 863 nt
Filed under: Anser cygnoides (Swan goose)
Lineage: Eukaryota; Metazoa; Chordata; Aves; Anseriformes; Anatidae
Description: lncRNA (ENSACDG00005002376.1)
Source: RNAcentral
GCCCCGGUGCGGCGGCGGUGGGCGAGGCGAGGCGAGGCGAGGCGGCGCCGGGAGCCUCCACCCCCGGGCCGCCCUGCCCGCGGCUCCUCAUGUGACGCGGGUAAGUCGGCGGCCAGCGCCGCGCUUCCCCCCGCUGCUGCCGCCCCCAUUCAUUUCCCCGCAGCGGCGGCCGGCCGCCGGGGAGAGCCUCUGCCCCGGCCCCCGGGAGAGAAGGGGGGACGGGCGGACGGAGCCUGGCGGACAGACGGACAGACAGAGCCGGGGGGAACCCCGAGUCGGGGGAAGGAGGCGGCUGCUCUGCGGCUCCCGCUCAGGAACACGAACACACACGCGCACACAGAAGGUGCGAGAACAUUAGAAGAGAAGCUUUCUUUUUAGUACAUUUGGUCUCUGCAAUUGUGAAACUCUUCAAAUUCACCUAAAAUUUCCGUGGACAAAGAAUUGAUUUCUUAAUGCCAAACCAUUUCCUGAAAUUAGUUGUUGCCUAGCUGCUGUUUUUUUCAAGGCAGGGACAUUUGUUUUGAUUUGGAAGCAGCUCACUUUUCAGCUGCAGGAAGUCUGAAGCUGUGUUUCAGAUGAAGGACAAUACACUGGAAAACUAGUGAUGUAUUUUUCCUUCUGCAGCAGACUUUCUCUAGGAAGUCACUGAAUCACUCAACUCUUCUGCGGCUCACUAUCUGCUUCAAUCAUUUGAAAUGUUAAUGCUCUGGAAAUUAUUGCUUUGGGAAUUGAUUAGAUUUGGAGAUUCUUACCUGAACAUGGUCUGAUAUAGACUUUGUAUAGAUUUUAAUGGUGAUAAAUGUCUCGUACCUUUAAAACUAUUUAGCAAUAAAAGGUACUAUCCAGAUGAGAAGGAUUUUUAA